UGAUGGUUGACAAUGUUGACAUUGAUGAC
This 29-nucleotide small RNA is filed under the name Bombyx mori (domestic silkworm). RNAcentral's name for it is "piRNA piR-bmo-1479293". The record is from RNAcentral. Lineage: Eukaryota; Metazoa; Arthropoda; Insecta; Lepidoptera; Bombycidae.